UGGGGAAUAUUGCACAAUGGGCGCAAGCCUGAUGCAGCCAUGCCGCGUGUAUGAAGAAGGCCUUCGGGUUGUAAAGUACUUUCAGCGGGGAGGAAGGUGUUGUGGUUAAUAACCACAGCAGUUGACGUUACCCGCAGAAGAAGCACCGGCUAACUCCGUGCCAGCAGCCGCGGUAAUACGGAGGGUGCAAGCGUUAAUCGGAAUUACUGGGCGUAAAGCGCACGCAGGCGGUCUGUCAAGUCGGAUGUGAAAUCCCCGGGCUCAACCUGGGAACUGCAUCCGAAACUGGCAGGCUUGAGUCUUGUAGAGGGGGGUAGAAUUCCAGGUGUAGCGGUGAAAUGCGUAGAGAUCUGGAGGAAUACCGGUGGCGAAGGCGGCCCCCUGGACAAAGACUGACGCUCAGGUGCGAAAGCGUGGGGAGCAAACA
This 427-nucleotide ribosomal RNA is filed under the name uncultured bacterium. RNAcentral's name for it is "partial 16S ribosomal RNA". It matches the Rfam family "Bacterial small subunit ribosomal RNA", at positions 355 to 774 of the family's 1533-position model. The record is from RNAcentral.